Molecule: ribosomal RNA, 889 nt
Filed under: uncultured bacterium
Lineage: Bacteria
Description: bacterial SSU rRNA
Rfam family: Bacterial small subunit ribosomal RNA
Source: RNAcentral
GAGUUUGAUCAUGGCUCAGGACGAACGCUGGCGGCGUGCCUAAUACAUGCAAGUCGAACGCACUGACGGAGAACUUGUUCUCUUGACGUGAGUGGCGCACGGGUGAGUAACACGUGGGAAACCUACCCUUCAGCGGGGGAUAACCAUCGGAAACGAUGACUAAUACCGCAUAGACGACAGAACCGCCUGGUUCAAUCGGGAAAGACGGCUCCGGCUGUCACUGAAGGAUGGUCCCGCGCUGCAUUAGCUAGUUGGUAAGGUAACGGCUUACCAAGGCGAUGAUGCAUAGCCGACCUGAGAGGGUGAUCGGCCACAUUGGGACUGAGACACGGCCCAAACUCCUACGGGAGGCAGCAGUAGGGAAUCUUCCGCAAUGGACGCAAGUCUGACGGAGCAACGCCGCGUGUGUGAAGAAGGUUUUCGGAUCGUAAAGCACUGUUAUUAGAGAAGAACAGCCGAUAGAGUAACUGUUAUCGGUUUGACGGUAUCUAACCAGAAAGUGACGGCUAACUACGUGCCAGCAGCCGCGGUAAUACGUAGGUCACAAGCGUUGUCCGGAUUUAUUGGGCGUAAAGGGAGCGCAGGCGGUUUGUUAAGUCUGAUGUGAAAGCCCACGGCUCAACCGUGGAACGGCAUUGGAAACUGGCAAACUUGAGUAUAGAAGAGGAAAGUGGAAUUCCAUGUGUAGCGGUGAAAUGCGUAGAUAUAUGGAGGAACACCAGUGGCGAACGCGACUUUCUGGUCUAUAACUGACGCUGAGGCUCGAAAGCGUGGGGAGCGAACAGGAUUAGAUACCCUGGUAGUCCACGCCGUAAACGAUGAGUGUUAAGUGUUGGGGGGCUUCCACCCCUCAGUGCUGGCGUUAACGCAAUAAACACUCCGCCUGGGG